Molecule: ribosomal RNA, 357 nt
Filed under: uncultured bacterium
Lineage: Bacteria
Description: bacterial SSU rRNA
Rfam family: Bacterial small subunit ribosomal RNA
Source: RNAcentral
GGACCCGCACAAGUAGUGGAGCAUGUGGUUUAAUUCGAAGAUACGCGCAGAACCUUACCAACACUUGACAUGUUCGUCGCGACUUUAAGAGAUUAAAGUUUUCGGUUCGGCCGGACGAAACACAGGUGCUGCAUGGCUGUCGUCAGCUCGUGUCGUGAGAUGUUGGUUAAGUCCCGCAACGAGCGCAACCCUCACUUUUAGUUGCCAUCAUUAAGUUGGGCACUCUGAAAGAACUGCCAGUGAUAAGCUGGAGGAAGGUGGGGAUGACGUCAAGUCCUCAUGGCCCUUACGUGUUGGGCUACACACGUGCUACAAUGGCUGGUACAGAGGGCUGCGAACCCCGCGAGGGCAAGCGAA